This 1088-nucleotide unclassified non-coding RNA is filed under the name Hevea brasiliensis (rubber tree). The record is from RNAcentral. Lineage: Eukaryota; Viridiplantae; Streptophyta; Magnoliopsida; Malpighiales; Euphorbiaceae.
CACCCUUGAAUUUUUUUUUUUUAUCGUAAGCCUCCUUCACCUCCACUGCCAACAAUCGAGCUGCCACCACCAGUUGCCCGCGAAGCUAGAAGAAACCCCAAUCCUCAAAACCCUCCAAAAUGAGUCUACUAAGAAACGCAGUCAAAUCGAGCUUCCCUGUCAGAGCUUUUAACCUAAAUCAUGCCGUCGCAUUCUGUCACCGCCAAUCGCCGAAACUUUUUUCCACCGAAGCCGAGCGACCACCAGCUUCAGAGGACUCUUCAAUCGAUCCAUUUCUUCAAACUACCGCCACAGGUAUGGUAUAUGGGAAGUUGUUUGGCAUCACAAGGCAGACUUUGAGGACUGACGUUAUCAAUUUGCUUGAGGGGUGCAAUUUGACACUUGAUGACAUUAAAGUCAACUACAACCGCGACUUUUUGCCUGUUGGAAUGAUGAUACAAUUCCCUUCUCGUCUAGCAUUUGAUAAUGCAUUCAAGGUGAUUGCAAAAAAAGGACGCUUAUACAGAUUGGAGAAUGCUGACCGUUCUCAAUGGGAUUUUCUAAUGCCUCAUGAUGGAAAAACUCUUUUACUUGAAGGAAUCCCUCGAAAUGCACAACUAGAAGAUGUAGAACGCUUCCUGUCUGGUUGUGAAUAUGAUCCAUCCUCCAUCCAGCUGACUGUUAGGCAAGGACUCCCAGAUCCCAUUAGAAUUGCACGGUUACGGUGCAGUACGAGGACUGAGGCUAUGAAUGCAUUCAUUACAAAGAACCGAGGCUUCUGUCUCAAUAAUCAAAUCACAGUGCGUGUUCUCCAUUAAUGCUUCUGUAGCCCCCUGUUGGGUAUUUUGUUUAGGACUUUUUGGGGUACGACUUUUGAUAUGAACGGGACUAGAUUUAAUCUGUGUCUUGAUAUAACAUGAGAUUUGGGUAUCUCAAAUUUGCUGAGAACAUUUUAGAGCUUUAUUUUUCCAUAAGGCAAGAACAAUUUUUUAUAUUUUAAUUGUUAGAAAAGGCUUAAAACAGCUAUUCAGUUGCGUUGCUUGUAUAAUAUUAGAACACAAAAUUGUGGGGUGUUAAAAAAAAGCUCUAAAAUGUUCUCAGCAAAUUUG